RNAcentral lists this ribosomal RNA (118 nucleotides) under Danio rerio (zebrafish). Lineage: Eukaryota; Metazoa; Chordata; Actinopteri; Cypriniformes; Danionidae. The record is from RNAcentral.
UCUUGCGUCUAGCUUGCUCCCUGCAACUCUCACAUGGUUGCCCACUGAAGCUAAGCAGGGCUGCACCUGGUCAGUACCUGGAUGGGAGACCACAUGGGAAAGUUUUUUGCUGCCGGAA